GCCAUGCUUUAGUCACUUGGUUAUUUUUUUUUUAAGGGAAACUGGUCUCCUAUGGAGACUGUAAUUGUUUUUCUUUUUUCCUUUCUUUCCUUUUCUUUCCAUUUCCCUUGCUUUCCUUUUCUUUCCUUUGAUUAGAGCAGUUUAGUAAUUCAGACCCACACUCCAUUUCAGAAGGUGGCGGUAAUGCACACCAAAAGUUGCUUGCCAACCGAAAAAUAGCAGGGAGAAGAAGUUCGAAACAAAGUGGCUCAAAAGAAAGAAUCAACGGGUUGCCUGGCAAAGCUUUUACUGGAGCAAUUACUGGAAUUUAAAAUAAGAUUUGGGAUUUGAGCUGGCUGUAUGAUAAGGUUGCUGUUGCAACAGUCUUGAUCCAUAAGAGCAGUCGACCAUCGCAAUGGAAAGGAAGAGGAAAUCAACUGCUCUGAGGGAAGUGAGCACAGAGCCAUGGAACCUGACUCCUCAAAGUGAUGGUCCCCAAGAUGGAUCCAAGCGUUCGCGUUACAGAGAUAACCCGGAGUACAGAGAGAAACAAAAACAGCAUCUGAACUCACUGUACCACACUGACCCAGCCUUCAGAGAGAAGAAGCUAGAGUCCGCAAGAUUAUACCGGCAGAAGAAAAAGGCAAGACUAUUAGAGCAGGAGGCAAAGAGUAAGGAGAACGAGGGAAAGGAUGGAGGGCAGCCCACAGAGCCCCAAGUUGGAUCCAAGCGGAGGGCGGAUUACAUUGAGAAGUCACUGUAUAAGACCGACCCAGUCUACAGAAAGUUAUGGAUAGAGUACGUAAGAAUAUCCCACCAGUUGAAAAAGAUGGACGAAAAACGCAAAAGUGCAUCUACUGCAAAAAAGCAAAAGUGAGGUGAUACAGGUUUUGAUGGACUGUUCAUCAUUUUUGGAAUAGGUGUGUUUUGGACCGUUUUUCUUUGCACAGUUUC
Long non-coding RNA from Engraulis encrasicolus (European anchovy), 933 nucleotides. RefSeq lists it as uncharacterized. Lineage: Eukaryota; Metazoa; Chordata; Actinopteri; Clupeiformes; Engraulidae. The record is from RefSeq and is a predicted model, not a curated record. The transcript is spliced from 2 exons.